RNAcentral lists this ribosomal RNA (513 nucleotides) under uncultured bacterium. Its description in RNAcentral is "bacterial SSU rRNA". It matches the Rfam family "Bacterial small subunit ribosomal RNA", at positions 30 to 518 of the family's 1533-position model. The record is from RNAcentral.
CGAACGCUGACAGCGUGGAUUAGGCAUGCAAGUCGAACGGGAUCCGCCCUGUAGCAAGUACUGGGGCGGUGAGAGUGGCGGAAGGGCGAGGAACGCAUGGACAACCUGCCCUGGAGCUGGGGAUAACGCUGGGAAACCGGCGCUAAUACCGAAUGAGGCGCCUGGAGGCAUCUCCGGGACGUCAAAGGCGGGGACCGCGAGGCCUGCCGCUCCGGGAUGGGUCCGUGUGCCAUCAGCUUGUGGCGGGUAACGGCCACCAAGGCUCACGGCUAGCUGGUCUGAGAGGACGACCAGCCGCACUGGGACUGAGACACUGCCCAGACUCCUACGGGAGGCUGCAGUCGAGGAUCAUUCGCAAUGGGCGGAAGCCUGACGAUGCGACGCUGUGUGGAGGACGAAGGCCUUCGGGUCGUAAACUCCUGUCAUGCGGGAAAAGGGCGCCCGGGGUGAACAGCCCCGGGCCUUGAUGGUACCGCAAGAGGAAGCCACGGCUAACUCUGUGCCAGCCGCUGC